RNAcentral lists this ribosomal RNA (407 nucleotides) under uncultured bacterium. Its description in RNAcentral is "partial 16S ribosomal RNA". It matches the Rfam family "Bacterial small subunit ribosomal RNA", at positions 28 to 526 of the family's 1533-position model. The record is from RNAcentral.
GACGAACGCUGGCGGCGUGCUUAACACAUGCAAGUCGAACGGAGCGGCGGACGGGUGAGUAAUACCUAGGAAUCUGCCUGGUAGUGGGGGAUCACGUUCGGAAACGGACGCUAAUACCGCAUACUAUCAGAUGAGCCUAGGUCGGAUUAGCUAGUUGGUGAGAUAAUGGCUCACAAAGGCUACGAUCCGCAACUGGGCUGAGAGUAUGAUCAGUCACACUGGAACUGAGACACUGUCCAGACUCCUACGUGAGGCAGCAGUGGGGAAUAUUGCACAAUGGGCGAAAGCCUGAUCCAGCCAUCCCGCGUGUGUGAAGAAGGUCUUCGGAUUGUAAAGCACUUUAAGUUGGGAGGCGUUACCGACAGAAUAAGCACCGGCUAACUCGGUGCCAGCAGCCGCGGUAAUUC